UUUCAUAUUAUUACAUGGUUUAUUUAAUUAACUGAAAUUAGUUUAGUUUUAAUUUAAAAGAUUGGGGUGGUUAUUUAAUGGACUUUGAAAAAUUGAAGAAGCACAAAUUUUAGCCCAAUUUUAUACAAGGAAAGGCCCAAUUUUGCAACCAAAUUCCUCCUAACCCGUUUUCAACCCAGAACCCGCCCCGUUUUAAUUUUAAUCUCUUCCAUUAAUCCCCCUUAAUCCAACGACCCAUAGUAAUCCCCACUAUAACAUAAAAACCUAAUAUUCCCGAAAACCCUAACCCUAAAGAGACUCUCACCAAACGACGACCCCCUUGUUCUCUUCACUCUGCCCGCUACCCUGCCGCUUCAAACUAGCCGGAACUCCCCCAAACCCGGCAAGUUCACUCUCAUGGUCC
Molecule: long non-coding RNA, 403 nt
Filed under: Nicotiana benthamiana
Lineage: Eukaryota; Viridiplantae; Streptophyta; Magnoliopsida; Solanales; Solanaceae
Description: long non-coding RNA (NBEN_LNC002165)
Source: RNAcentral